GAUGAACGCUGACAGAAUGCUUAACACAUGCAAGUCAACCUGAAUUUGGGUUUUUAACUUAGAUUUGGGUGGCGGACGGGUGAGUAACGCGUAAAGAACUUGCCUCACAGCUAGGGACAACAUUUAGAAAUGAAUGCUAAUACCUGAUAUUAUGGUUAUAGGGCAUCCUAUAAUUAUGAAAGCUAUAUGCACUGUGAGAGAGCUUUGCGUCCCAUUAGCUAGUUGGAGAGGUAACAGCUCACCAAGGCGAUGAUGGGUAGCCGGCCUGAGAGGGUGAACGGCCACAAGGGGACUGAGACACGGCCCUUACUCCUACGGGAGGCAGCAGUGGGGAAUAUUGGACAAUGGACCGAGAGUCUGAUCCAGCAAUUCUGUGUGCACGAUGAAGUUUUUCGGAAUGUAAAGUGCUUUCAGUUGGGAAGAAAAAAAUGACGGUACCAACAGAAGAAGUGACGGCUAAAUACGUGCCAGCAGCCGCGGUAAUACGUAUGUCACAAGCGUUAUCCGGAUUUAUUGGGCGUAAAGCGCGUCUAGGUGGUUAUGUAAGUCUGAUGUGAAAAUGCAGGGCUCAACUCUGUAUUGCGUUGGAAACUGUGUAACUAGAGUACUGGAGAGGUAAGUGGAACUACAAGUGUAGAGGUGAAAUUCGUAGAUAUUUGUAGGAAUGCCGAUGGGGAAGCCAGCUUACUGGACAGAUACUGACGCUGAAGCGCGAAAGCGUGGGUAGCAAACAGG
Molecule: ribosomal RNA, 735 nt
Filed under: uncultured Fusobacterium sp.
Lineage: Bacteria; Fusobacteriati; Fusobacteriota; Fusobacteriia; Fusobacteriales; Fusobacteriaceae
Description: bacterial SSU rRNA
Rfam family: Bacterial small subunit ribosomal RNA
Source: RNAcentral